UGUGACAGAAUAGUGUGAUAAAUUUAAGAUUUAUAUAUAAAGGUAUCUUUCUUUAGAA
Molecule: transfer RNA, 58 nt
Filed under: Cautires sp. UPOL AJ0092
Lineage: Eukaryota; Metazoa; Arthropoda; Insecta; Coleoptera; Lycidae
Also listed under: 1 other name
Description: tRNA-Leu
Source: RNAcentral